This 465-nucleotide ribosomal RNA is filed under the name Vreelandella stevensii. Its description in RNAcentral is "partial 16S ribosomal RNA". It matches the Rfam family "Bacterial small subunit ribosomal RNA", at positions 338 to 795 of the family's 1533-position model. The record is from RNAcentral. Lineage: Bacteria; Pseudomonadati; Pseudomonadota; Gammaproteobacteria; Oceanospirillales; Halomonadaceae.
CCUACGGGGGGCUGCAGUGGGGAAUAUUGGACAAUGGGCGAAAGCCUGAUCCAGCCAUGCCGCGUGUGUGAAGAAGGCCUUCGGGUUGUAAAGCACUUUCAGUGGGGAAGAAAGCCUUGGGGCUAAUACCCUCGAGGAAGGACAUCACCCACAGAAGAAGCACCGGCUAACUCCGUGCCAGCAGCCGCGGUAAUACAGAGGGUGCGAGCGUUAAUCGGAAUUACUGGGCGUAAAGCGCGCGUAGGCGGUCUGAUAAGCCGGUUGUGAAAGCCCCGGGCUCAACCUGGGAACGGCAUCCGGAACUGUCAGGCUAGAGUGCAGGAGAGGAAGGUAGAAUUCCCGGUGUAGCAGUGAAAUGCGUAGAGAUCGGGAGGAAUACCAGUGGCGAAGGCGGCCUUCUGGACUGACACUGACGCUGAGGUGCGAAAGCGUGGGUAGCAAACAGGAUUAGAUACCCGAGUAGUC